AUCCAGAUGAUGAAUUCCAAACAGUACGAAAUGUGCAUCCUGGAU
This 45-nucleotide non-coding RNA is filed under the name Trichobilharzia regenti. The record is from RNAcentral. Lineage: Eukaryota; Metazoa; Platyhelminthes; Trematoda; Strigeidida; Schistosomatidae.